This 458-nucleotide ribosomal RNA is filed under the name uncultured bacterium. RNAcentral describes it as "bacterial SSU rRNA". It matches the Rfam family "Bacterial small subunit ribosomal RNA", at positions 8 to 504 of the family's 1533-position model. The record is from RNAcentral.
AGAGUUUGAUCCUGGCUCAGAUUGAACGCUGGCGGCAUGGCUAAAGCAUGCAAGUCGAACGAGAACCGGCUUCGGCCGGGGACAGUGGCGGAAGGGCGAGGAAUACGAUCGAACGUGCCCCGAGGUGGGGGAUAGCCGCGGGAAACUGCGGGUAAUACCCCAUGUGCUCUUCGGAGGAAAGGUUUACCGCCUUGGGAGCGGCGAUCGUCCUAUCAGGUAGUUGGCGGGGUAACGGCCCACCAAGCCGAAGACGGGUAGCGGGUGUGAGAGCACGACCCGCCGCAUCGGGACUGAGACACUGCCCGGACUCCUACGGGAGGCUGCAGCGACGAAUCUUCCGCAAUGGGCGCAAGCCUGACGGAGCAAUGCCGCGUGCGGGAUGAAGCGGCUUCGCCGUGUAAACCGCUGUCAGGUCCCAGGAACACUGACCGGGACCAGAGGAAGGGCCGGCUAACCUC